GCAUGACCUUUCAUCGCACGAAACUCCUUCGACAAGUUUUAUGAACAUAACACCUGCAGGAAGACGUUCUCAACCAAACAUUAAUGGCUUCCAAAGAUCAGUUCUCACGAAACUGGAAACAUUAAUUGAUAAGCUAGAAGAAACGUAGUCAAUAUUGCGUGCUCUGUUAAGCAAUAAGAAAGGUGUAGACGAGCACGAAAUUUUGAAA
Molecule: long non-coding RNA, 208 nt
Organism: Xenia sp. Carnegie-2017
Lineage: Eukaryota; Metazoa; Cnidaria; Anthozoa; Malacalcyonacea; Xeniidae
Exons: 2
Source: RefSeq, a predicted model, not a curated record